UCCCUGAUAGCUCAGUUGGUAAAGAAUCCGCUUGCAAUGCAGGAGACCCCAGUUUAAUUUCUGGGUCAGGAAG
Ovis aries (sheep) is the source of this 73-nucleotide transfer RNA. It matches the Rfam family "tRNA". Rfam says of the family: Transfer RNA (tRNA) molecules are approximately 80 nucleotides in length. Their secondary structure includes four short double-helical elements and three loops (D, anti-codon, and T loops). The record is from Rfam. Lineage: Eukaryota; Metazoa; Chordata; Mammalia; Artiodactyla; Bovidae.